RNAcentral lists this ribosomal RNA (253 nucleotides) under uncultured bacterium. Its description in RNAcentral is "partial 16S ribosomal RNA". It matches the Rfam family "Bacterial small subunit ribosomal RNA", at positions 524 to 776 of the family's 1533-position model. The record is from RNAcentral.
GACAGAGGUGCCGAGCGUUAGGCGGAAUCACUGGGCUUAAAGCGUGUGUAGGCGGAUUCCUAAGUACCUUGUGAAAUCCCACGGCUCAACCGUGGAACUGCUUGGUAUACUGGGUGUCUUGAGCCAACUAGGGGCUACCGGAACAAAUGGUGGAGCGGUGAAAUGCGUAGAUAUCAUUUGGAACGCCAAUGGUGAAAACAGGUAGCUGGGGUUGUGCUGACGCUGAGACACGAAAGCCAGGGGAGCGAACGGG